ACUUUUGUUUUACUCACCCCAGCUACUGCAGCGUUUGAGCCAUCCGAGGAGUUUAAAUCUUUAUCUUGGACGAUCAAGAACAAUUCAGAACGUGGCUGUUAGAAAAAAAAAAAGCUCCCAAGACUCUGCCUGAUCGCUUGCCCGGGAGCUGGAAACACCCACCCUGGCUGCUCCAGUGCUUGCAAAAGUUCACCAGCUGUUCUAACCAGCAAAGCAUGACAUGAGUCAGCAACUUUGAGACCUCUAUGUGACUACCCACCCGGAAUAAAUUUCACAGAGAGAUAAUGGUCUCAUCAUGUCCCUGGUGCCGUAAGGAGAGAAACUCCAUCUGUAAGAGGGAAAGUUGGACUGAAAAUUAGCUGCAGGCCUUGAACUAGCAGUCUCCACUAAUCUGCUUGAUUUAUUAAGGCAGAAUUUAGGAUCAUCUACAGUAUGAAAAAUCAAGUAAAAUGUUGAUUAGCUGGAGUAAAGUUUGGAUUUAGUAACGUCAUGAAGAGACAGGGAAUUUACUGCAGCUUCUUGCCUGCACCUAUCUCCUUCUCCAGCCACUAUACUCUGCUCCUCCGUCUUCCUGCUCAGGCCCCCAUCCAGCCAAGCAGUGAUGGGGAGGUCCUCUCAGGUUAAAAAGAUAUGUCCAAUUCAACUGCUGCCGAAGAGGGUCACUAGCUAAGUAGUUGGUCUGAGAUUCCAGAGUCUUGAAGGAGAGUUUGCUUCCUUUCCCCUAGAAAAUGGUUUGGAAGACGAUCCUGUUUUUCUUCAAUGACAGGGACACAGUGAAUGAGUUUUUAGGGGAACUCCUACAGUUUAGGGGAAGAGUUUCAGUCCCUCAGGAACCACACAUGGAGUGUCCUUUCUCUGCACUUGAGUGGCAGAAAAUGAGGAAGAACUGAGAGGAGGUAGCAGUUGCCUCUACAAAACCAUGUCCCCACAUGCCCUGAACUCAGUGAAGGACCCUCCACUUGUAUAAGAAGGUAAAGGAGCUGAGUCCAGCAGUGACAAGGUCAGUGAGACUUUCCCCAUGACCAGCAUUAAAUCUGUAGAUAAGUAUCAGGGUGUCAGUUAUUUGUCUAUUCUCCGCCAUGUGGGAGGGGGGAAGAGUCAUGCUGUCAGAUUGCCAGGGUCUGAAAGGGCAGGAGUCUUGGAGUUGUGCUCAGAAGCACAAGGUCUCUGCACAGAUGGUUCUGUGCCUCUGCCAUAUUCAAUACUAUGUAUCAUUGAACCUUUUCUCAUUCUGCAGUGAGAAGAGACAUUCCUGGCCUGUCCCUUCCCAGCUUCAUAAUCCAGGAGGAAACAUCGGUAUCGAGCCUCAGAAACCCCUCCCUCCGCCCCACUACACUCCCUGGUCUCUUCCCAUUUUUUUCUCAUGGGGGGUGAGGGCAAUCUUGUCUGUGUUAGGACCUUAGACUUUGGCCCACAGUAAACUGUUGGGAAUUAGACAUGAAUCAGGCUUGUGUAUUGACACUAGAGUUUUAUUUUAUGCUCUGUAUUUCAGCACCGGGCGUUUCAUCCUCCUAUGACAAAGUUACAUAUUUUCAGCCAAAGAAUUUACUGGAUGCAAGACAUUCUAGGAAGAUACUAAGGGAAAGUAAUCUCUACCUUUCCAUCACAAGGACGCUAAAAGAACAGUGGACAUUUAUAAUAAUGUGCUAGCUACUGUGUUAACUCCAUUCGUGCCCUAGUUUGACUUUGUUCUACACACUGUAAACAGUGCUGGUGUAGGCCCAUGCAUUUGGGGCAAGACAAUCUAAACCUACAGCAAGCUUUUCAUUUUUGGUAUAACUGAAUGCAAAUGCUGUGCUGGGGGCAAUAGAGGCAGAUUUGGUAUGGUCUCACUGGUACAACAGUGGUUUCAGGCAUCCCCAGCCAAUGACAGGAGAAUUCUAGGCUCAUGUGUGGUGUGUUCCCCCAGAUUGGUUUUGACACGAAUGCAUGUAGCUGCAGUCUGUCUUUUCAAGAAGCUUUUCAGAAGGAUGGCCUGGACUCCCAUGUACAGGAGAUAUACGGCUGAGUGCUUUUGUUAUAGGGGAUAUGCAGUGUCUGAUUAAUUUAAUUUACUGACCAGAGAUUGGCUAAAAUUGAACCGCUGCAUAAAUGAGAUUAUGUGGAUUGGUUCAGGCAGGAAAUGUGAAGAAAGUGUCAUUUCCCUAGGCCUUCUGAAUUGUAAUGAGGAGCUGCUUCUCCGGACCAGCAUAGUGUGAUCAUUGACCUAAGGCUGAGUUGAGGACAUCUGGAGUCAACUAUGGACUGCUGUAAUGUGCUACAUGCUGGGCAACCUUAGUAAGAGAUCUGCUGCCUGCAGCUGGUUCAGAAUACAGUGUCUGAUUGUUGCAGGGGGUGAUUAACAGAGGUCAGUCUGACUGCUCACUGUCUUGCUAUCUAGCUCAGCUGCCUGUUAGCCCAAGUAUCAAGGUUAAAGUUUUUAAUUUUAAUAUUUAAAGCUCCAAAUGGAUUCUAUCCCAAGUGUCUUUCUGAACUUCUGAUGCCCUGUAUUCCAUCCCAGCCUCAAAAAUCGGAGGGAAAGACAACUUUUUGACCUGAGGGCUUUUAGUGAUGGACUAAGCAGAGGUUGUACUUUUGCCUGUGGAGCUCUAGGUCUGCGGCAAUGCCUUCCUUCCAGAGCUGAGAACAAUCAUACAUUUGGUAUUUCUAAGAGAUCUAUACACCAGCAUUCAGAAAUGUGAGAACCCCUGCACUGUAAUUGUUUUAACUGUUUCUAGAUAUGCUCUGAUUGAAAUGUGCACUUGUGCGUUGCACACUGAUUGUGUGAACCCUGCUGGCGCUCACUAAAAGUUCUCUAGUGUGCACUGACUCAGUCCUGUUUCACAGACAGUUGGUGCAUGACACACUGAGACAAACUAGAAUUUACACCCCCAUUGGUGCGCACUUAUGCAGCAUGUAGAUAAGCCCUUAGCUCAGGCAGAACACCCAUUACAUUCAGUAGGAGUUUGAUGGGCUCCAGAAUCCGUCAUUUAGUUCAUACUGUCUAUUUUGAUCUACCCAUCAACAGGAUUCAUACUGUAAAGGCGACACUAUUUAUUCAGGCAAUCUGUAUUUUUAGCAUCAAAAGCAUGGGAUAGAAUUUAAUACACACAGAUUAUUUGGAUAUUUUAUUUUCAUCCAUAAAGUUCUACAAAUGAGCAAAUAAAGGAAGUAAAGAACACUACACUUAAAAUGAAUUGUGUUAACUUUGGCAAACACUCUGUUGCUGAGUUCAUUGCAGUAGCAUUUGCAAAAAUGAUACUAGAUUUUCAGUCCUAUGAGCUUUAUAUUAAAAGUAAAUUAUCACCAUUAAGCAACAAAGGAAUUGCCACAGAGCAUAAUUUUGAAACAACAGCUACAAUAAGUUACUUUGAUAGCUCAGAUAACAUGUUAUCUAAAGUAAAACUAAAUAGCUAUUUAAAAGAAUUCCUCAGUGUGACUGCUAGUGUUGCAAAUACUAUAUUUCUAUUUUAUAAACUGGUGGCUUAUCAUCUUUGAAGGCAUGCUGGAGAGUGUUAGAGUUUAUUCUAUCAUUUAGAUCAGCUUUAGGCAAUUAUAUAUAUAAACAUAAUGACAUUCUUACUCUUUUUUAAAAUGGAUUGAUCUCAAGUCUGUGAUGAAUGAAUCUGCAAUGUGUUUUCCUGAAAUCUUGUUUGAACUGAAUUAAUCCAAUAUUAAUUUAUUUUACAUGUGCCAGAAGCAUCAUCCUAUUAUUAAUAAGUUGAAACAGACAGCAGGAAAAGGAGGUCCCUCCCUAGCAUUGCCAGAGUGCAUCUCUGUGUGUAUCCAGCAAUCUGUGUGAUAUGUUGACAGAAUGAGGCCAGGGAUGCAAAUAAAGGAAACUUUUCCCCCACUCCUAGCAGUAAAUAUAUUUAUUUAUAUAUGAAGUUAGAAAACACAGUUUAUUGCUUGUCAUUCAUUAACGUACUGAAUGGUAGU
Molecule: long non-coding RNA, 3918 nt
Organism: Mauremys mutica (yellowpond turtle)
Lineage: Eukaryota; Metazoa; Chordata; Testudines; Geoemydidae
Exons: 7
Source: RefSeq, a predicted model, not a curated record